Molecule: ribosomal RNA, 535 nt
Filed under: uncultured bacterium
Lineage: Bacteria
Description: bacterial SSU rRNA
Rfam family: Bacterial small subunit ribosomal RNA
Source: RNAcentral
AAUAGAUACCCUGGUAGUCCACGCCGUAAACGAUGAGUGCUAAGUGUUAGAGGGUUUCCGCCCUUUAGUGCUGCAGCUAACGCAUUAAGCACUCCGCCUGGGGAGUACGACCGCAAGGUUGAAACUCAAAGGAAUUGACGGGGGCCCGCACAAGCGGUGGAGCAUGUGGUUUAAUUCGAAGCAACGCGAAGAACCUUACCAGGUCUUGACAUCCUCUGACCUCCCUGGAGACAGGGACUUCCCCUUCGGGGGACAGAGUGACAGGUGGUGCAUGGUUGUCGUCAGCUCGUGUCGUGAGAUGUUGGGUUAAGUCCCGCAACGAGCGCAACCCUUGACCUUAGUUGCCAGCAUUCAGUUGGGCACUCUAAGGUGACUGCCGGUGACAAACCGGAGGAAGGUGGGGAUGACGUCAAAUCAUCAUGCCCCUUAUGAUCUGGGCUACACACGUGCUACAAUGGAUGGUACAAAGGGGCAGCGAGACCGGCGAGGUUAAGCCAAAUCCCCAUAAAAACCCAUUCUCAGUUCGGAUUGCAGG